UCUUUGUCGGAGAGUUUGAUCCUGGCUCAGGAUAAACGCUGGCGGCGUGCAUGAGACAUGCAAGUCGAACGAGUGACUCGGGCUUGCUCGAGUCGCUAGUGGCGGACGGCUGAGUAACGCGUAGGUGACCUGCCCCGAAGUGGGGAAUAACUGCCCGAAAGGGUGGCUAAUACCGCAUGUGGUCGCACAUUCAAUUGUGCGAGUAAAGCCGCAAGGCGCUUCGGGAGGGGCCUGCGUCCGAUUAGCUCGUUGGUGGGGUAACGGCUCACCAAGGCGACGAUCGGUAGGUGGUCUGAGAGGACGAUCACCCAGACUGGGAC
Molecule: ribosomal RNA, 320 nt
Filed under: Chloroflexota bacterium
Lineage: Bacteria; Bacillati; Chloroflexota
Description: bacterial SSU rRNA
Rfam family: Bacterial small subunit ribosomal RNA
Source: RNAcentral